This 405-nucleotide ribosomal RNA is filed under the name uncultured bacterium. Its description in RNAcentral is "partial 16S ribosomal RNA". It matches the Rfam family "Bacterial small subunit ribosomal RNA", at positions 30 to 525 of the family's 1533-position model. The record is from RNAcentral.
AUUGAACGCUGGCGGCAGGCCUAACACAUGCAAGUCGAACGAGUGGCGGACGGGUGAGUAAUGUCUGGGAAACUGCCUGAUGGCGGGGGAUAACUACUGGAAACGGUAGCUAAUACCGCAUACCAUCAGAUGUGCCCAGAUGGGAUUAGCUUGUUGGUGGGGUAACGGCUCACCAAGGCGACGAUCCCUCGCUGGUCUGAGAGGAUGACCAGGAAACCUGGAACUGAGACACGGUCCAGAGUCUUACGGGGGGCAGAAGUGGGGAAAAUGGAACAAUGGGGGCAAGCUUGAUGCAGCCAUGCCGCGUGUAUGAAGAAGGCCUUCGGGUGGUAAAGUACUUUCAGCGGGGAGGCGUUACCCGCAGAAGAAGCACCGGCUAACUCCGUGCCAGCAGCCGCGGUAAUA